RNAcentral lists this long non-coding RNA (300 nucleotides) under Ananas comosus (pineapple). RNAcentral's name for it is "long non-coding RNA (ACOM_LNC029359)". Lineage: Eukaryota; Viridiplantae; Streptophyta; Magnoliopsida; Poales; Bromeliaceae. The record is from RNAcentral.
AGAGUUUAUGUUUUAUGAGAUGUUGUAUUUGGAGUUAAUGUUGAGAUUAUGGAUUUAUAUAUUUAUGUAUAUUUGUAUGGAAAUAUUUAAACUAGCUUAGUUUUAUAUAUUAUAUUAUGAUCACUAUGUGUAGGAUGUAUAUAUUGUCACGCCCCAGAUUACCACGUUUCUCGGGGCACGCCAACAGAUAUACAAAAGAAUUUUUUCUGUAUACGAAGCGAUAGCUGUAUCUAUAUACCUGUAAUCAUACAAAACUACAACUAGUAGUAUAGAGCUGCUAACAGAACUGUAAACAUAUAU